CUCUUAGAGACUUACCCAGAAACACUCCCAGCUUUAAUUGCUGCCAAAGGUGCUUCUACAAAAGUAUGGACUCAGGGGUAUGAAUCCUCAAUAAAUGAGCAAACAUUAAAAAAAACUUUUUUUUAUGGGGUAUGUGUAGAUGGGUCAUUUUAUUCAGGCUGUAACACAACACAAUGUGGAAUAAGUCCAAGGGUGUGAAUACUUUCUGAAGGCUCUCUAUAUAGUGUUUAGGCUAGUGUAUUAUGUCACAUCGGGGCUAUCUAGGCAAACGGCUUUGUGAGUGUUCACUCUUGAGAGUUUUCCUCACGUCUGCCUCGGAGAGCGAAAUCACAUGGUCGUCCAGAGCAACGAGAGUCUUCCAGGUUAGUUCAGUGUUGUCCGCCUCGAAGCAUAACAUGUAUUAUGCUUGUCUGGGAGCGCAGCCUCGAUGGACAUCACACGGCUGGAUUUUCCUCUGCAGUCCGUAACAGCCGGUAAUCCUUGCCACAUGCGCCACACGUCUUCGUUGUCAUACUGUGAUUCCAGUUUGAGUCUAUAUUUUAUUUGAUCUUUUGGUGUCCCUAAUGGAUUUUCGGAGCUCGCGCCUGCUUGCCUCGUACACAUCAAGGUCACCGGUGAUGAAUGCUGCAGUACGGGCCGUCAGCGCGGAUCUCACUGUUAAUCCAGGGUUUUUAAUUGGGGUAUGUCCGGAUUGUUAUUGUAAAUUCAACAUCAUCAACACAUUUCCUGAUGAAACCUGUGACUGAUGAUGUCUAAUCCAUUGAUGCUAAAGGAUGAGUCCUGGGUGGAUGAGUCUUUGAACAUAUUCCAAUCAAUACCAUCAAAGCAAUCCUGCAGCAUUGAGUCCACCUCCUCCAGUCAGCGCCUCACUAUUCUCUCUGAUGCUUGGUCCUUUUGAGUAGCUGUUUGUAGGCGUGGAGUAGGAACAGAGAUGUGUGAUCUGAUUGGCCGAAGUGGGGGUGGAGGAUUGUUGCGGAUGUUUAUGUAAACAUGGUCUAGUACACGUAGCUCUCGUGUGGGACAGGAGACAUGCUUAUGAUAUUUUGGAAGGACUCGUUUUAGGUUUGCCUAGAUUAAAUAUCCUGCGAUGAUAAAGACUGCUUCUGGGUGAGAGGAUUCUUGCUGGCUAAUGGUCUCAUACAGUCCGCUGAGUACCACCGUGGUGUUGGCUUGUGGCGGUAUGUAAACAUUGGUGUUGAUAACAGACGUGAAUUCCCGCGGCAGAUAGUAGGGCCGGCAUUUUAACAUCCGAAACUCCAGUUUGCGUGAGCAGGAGCUUGGGAUGACUUCUACAUCAUUACACCAAGAAGAGAAAGCUCCUCCCCCUUACUCUUGCCAUAGGCCGCUGUUCGAUCCAUGAGAAAAAUGGAGAACCCAUCUUUCGGUGUAGUUUCCGUCAGCCAUGUUAACUUGAAGACAAAAACACAGCAUUCCUUGAUGUCUCGUUGUGAUAUUAGCCGCACUCUGAGUUCGUCUACUUUAUUAUCCCGUGAUCGGACAUUAGCCAGAAUAAUACCAGGAAGAGAAGGAUGUUUUGCCUGACAUUUCAGCCUCGCUCAGAAGCCUGCUUUUCUUUCUCUUCUUAGCUGGCGCUUGCUUCGGUCGUCUCGAUCGCGUGAUCACAUAACAGUUAAACCCUUUGUACAGGGCACUUGCUUUGGUCGCCUCGAUCGCGUGAUCACAUAACAGUUAAACCCUUUGUACAGGGCACUUGCUUUGGUCGCCUCGAUCGUGUGAUCACAUAACAGUUAAACCCUUUGUACAGGGCACUUGCUUCGGUCGCCUCGAUCGCGUGAUCACAUAGCAGUUAAGCCCUUUGUACAGGGCACUUGCUUCGGUCGCCUCGAUCGUGUGAUCCAGAUGGCCAGAAGAGUUUGGUGGUUGUAGGAAAUUUGAACAAAAGCGUCUUAACGUAGAAAUACACAUGAAAUAGCCAAGUGGAGCGGGAGCCGGCAUCAUACGUUUAAAUAUGGAGGAAUCCAAUUGGUUGUCUUUCAUUCAGAUAUAAAAGGUUGCGUAUUGGUUUCAAGUGGAUGGUGAGGGCGUUUUCUGGGUACCUCUCCACUGACCGGCUUCUACUGCAGUGGGACCGAAUCCUGGGUUAUGAUUCACUGGAGAUAGCUGCAGACUCCCACGGCCUUUCCUGCUUAUCGCCGCCCUCCCCGGGGGCCACUGGCUUCCCUUUUGGUUUCCCUUCGUCCCACCACUGGACAAGACACCACCUUUGGCUCCUUGCAACAGCACCCCUUUGGUUGAAACGAUGCACUGCAGGAGCGAUGUGCCAUGAUGACUGUUAUUCUAUCCGUCAUCACUCUGGCUCUUGCCGUUGUUGAAAGAUUACAUGUAGAUGGCUCUAUCAGGUUGCCUGUCUCACUCACUGUGGUACUCUCAACAUAAAAUGUGCAAGUAUGGUCCAGUUGAUAGUAAUAAUACAGAUAUGGGAAUAGUGGGCCAAAUAUAUUCAUUUCAAUGUCAAACAAGCAGAGGGGCGGACUGGGACUAGAAAUCGGCCCUGGAAUUUCUAUCACGUCGGUCCAUUUUUUUCCUUGAGGCCCCCAUAAUUAGCUAGAUUAUUUUGCCUGCCUAAACAAAACAAGUUAGACUGGCCCACUGGGCUAACGAUAAAUCUGCCCAUCUGGCAUUUGCCCAAAAUGCCAGAUGGCCAGUAAGCCCCUGAAGAAGCAUCUAAGAAAGCAUAUUGGCAUACAUUUUAAUUUGUUUUAAGCUAUAACAUGAAAAUGUAGCCUAUAAUUUGCCACUUUUCGAAUUUACAGAAGCCUAUAUGCAUAUGAGUUUGAAUUUACAGAAACCUAUAACCUGCUAUAUGAGCAGCUAACCGAUCGCUGCAGCUGCACAUUGUCCAUCUGUAAACAGCCCACCCAAUUUACCUACCUCAUCCCUUUACUGUUUUUAUUUAUUUACUUUUCUGCUCUUUUGCACAACAGUAUCUCUACUUGCACAUGAUCAUCUGAUGAUUUAUCACUCCAGUGUUAAUCUGCUAAAUUGUAAUUAUUCGCUCCUAUGGCCUAUUUAUAUGCCUACCUCCUCAUACCUUUUGCACACAAUGUAUAUAGACUCAUUUUUUCCCCCCUACUGUGUUAUUGACUUGCUAAUUGUUUACUCCAUGUCUGUUCACACUGCUAUGCUUUAUCUUGGCCAGGUCGCAGUUGUAAAUGAGAACUUGUUCUCAACUAGCCUACCUGGUUA
Salvelinus fontinalis (brook trout) is the source of this 3207-nucleotide long non-coding RNA. RefSeq lists it as uncharacterized. The transcript is spliced from 3 exons. NCBI's taxonomy places the organism in Eukaryota, Metazoa, Chordata, Actinopteri, Salmoniformes, Salmonidae. The record is from RefSeq and is a predicted model, not a curated record.